UACGGAGGGUGCGAGCGUUGUCCGGAAUCACUGGGCGUAAAGGGCGCGUAGGUGGCUUGGCGCGCGUGCGGUGAAAGCCCGGGGCUUAACCCCGGGUCUGCCGUGCGGACGGCCAGGCUAGGGCACUGUAGAGGCAGGUAGAAUUCCGGGUGUAGCGGUGGAAUGCGUAGAGAUCCGGAAGAAUACCGGUGGCGAAGGCGGCCUGCUGGGCAGUUGCCGACACUGAGGCGCGACAGCGUGGGGAGCAAACAGG
RNAcentral lists this ribosomal RNA (253 nucleotides) under uncultured bacterium. RNAcentral describes it as "partial 16S ribosomal RNA". It matches the Rfam family "Bacterial small subunit ribosomal RNA", at positions 524 to 776 of the family's 1533-position model. The record is from RNAcentral.